UAGGCCUUUUGGUCAAACUUGGUUACAAGUUUAUAAUAAAGAAUAAUUUUUGUGAUAUCAUUAUGAAUGAUACUACAAGUAUGUGUGGAUAAUUGAAACAUAGCAUAUACAUAAUAUCACGAUCUGUUAGUGUAAUAUACACACCUAGUAAAUGUCCUAAACUAAAUAAUAUCAGUGAAUCCUACCUUUGACAUUGUAGUCUUGGUC
RNAcentral lists this long non-coding RNA (207 nucleotides) under Elaeis guineensis (African oil palm). Its description in RNAcentral is "long non-coding RNA (EGUI_LNC040084)". The record is from RNAcentral. Lineage: Eukaryota; Viridiplantae; Streptophyta; Magnoliopsida; Arecales; Arecaceae.